RNAcentral lists this ribosomal RNA (828 nucleotides) under uncultured Bacteroidota bacterium. RNAcentral describes it as "bacterial SSU rRNA". It matches the Rfam family "Bacterial small subunit ribosomal RNA", at positions 60 to 882 of the family's 1533-position model. The record is from RNAcentral. Lineage: Bacteria; Pseudomonadati; Bacteroidota.
AGUCGACGGUAACAGGAAUUAGCUUGCUAAUUUGCUGACGAGUGGCGCACGGGUGCGUAGCGCGUAUACAAUCUACCUUUUGCUGAGGGAUAGCCCAGAGAAAUUUGGAUUAAUACCUCAUGGUAUUAUUGAUAGGCAUCUAUUAAUAAUUAAAGGUUACGGCAAAAGAUGAGUAUGCGUCCCAUUAGCUAGUUGGCGAGGUAACGGCUCACCAAGGCAACGAUGGGUAGGGGUCCUGAGAGGGAGAUCCCCCACACUGGUACUGAGACACGGACCAGACUCCUACGGGAGGCAGCAGUGAGGAAUAUUGGACAAUGGGCGAGAGCCUGAUCCAGCCAUGCCGCGUGCAGGAAGACUGCCCUAUGGGUUGUAAACUGCUUUUAUACAGGAAGAAUAAGCCUUACGUGUAAGGUGAUGACGGUACUGUAAGAAUAAGGACCGGCUAACUCCGUGCCAGCAGCCGCGGUAAUACGGAGGGUCCGAGCGUUAUCCGGAAUUAUUGGGUUUAAAGGGUCCGUAGGCGGAUGAUUAAGUCAGGGGUGAAAGUUUGCAGCUCAACUGUAAAAUUGCCUUUGAUACUGGUUAUCUUGAGUUGUAUUGAAGUAGGCGGAAUAUGUAGUGUAGCGGUGAAAUGCAUAGAUAUUACAUAGAACACCAAUUGCGAAGGCAGCUUACUAAGUACUAACUGACGCUGAUGGACGAAAGCGUGGGUAGCGAACAGGAUUAGAUACCCUGGUAGUCCACGCCGUAAACGAUGGAUACUAGCUGUUCGGGACCUUGAGUUCUGAGCGGCUAAGCGAAAGUGAUAAGUAUCCCACCUGGGGAGUA